Molecule: ribosomal RNA, 323 nt
Filed under: Trichophyton soudanense
Lineage: Eukaryota; Fungi; Ascomycota; Eurotiomycetes; Onygenales; Arthrodermataceae
Description: eukaryotic LSU rRNA
Rfam family: Eukaryotic large subunit ribosomal RNA
Source: RNAcentral
AGACCGAUAGCGAACAAGUAGAGUGAUCGAAAGGUUAAAAGCACCUUGAAAAGGGAGUUAAACAGCACGUGAAAUUGUUGAAAGGGAAGCGCUUGCGGCCAGACUCGGGGGGCGGGGUUCAGCGGGCGUUCGUCGCCCGUGCACUGCCCGCUCCCCGGGCCAGCAUCAGCUUCGACGGCCGGUCAAAGGCCCCCGGAAUGUGUCGUCUCUAGGGACGUCUUAUAGCCGGGGGUGCAAUGCGGCCCGUCGAGACUGAGGAACGCGCUCCGGCUCGGAUGCUGGCGUAAUGGCCGUAAGCGGCCCGUCUUGAAACACGGACCAAG